Molecule: long non-coding RNA, 463 nt
Organism: Cololabis saira (Pacific saury)
Lineage: Eukaryota; Metazoa; Chordata; Actinopteri; Beloniformes; Belonidae
Exons: 4
Source: RefSeq, a predicted model, not a curated record
GAGGAGAUCAAUUAUUUGAGAAAAACAAUCAUUGACAUCGAUGAUCCUGGUCAGAGGUUCAGGAAAAGGAGACGGCUCUGAUGAGGAAUAUAUUCCUCACCUUUGUUUAUGGACAACUUCAGACUUCGAGAACUUCCAAAAUCACAUCCUGAUGUUUGCAGGAAAGCAUUUUGGCUUUAGCCCACCUGUAUACACAGCUCAGACGUUGCUUGUAACACUUGGUUACAACCACCGCCUCCCUGCACGAAACCGUGAUGGGACACAAGAUUUACCGAUGGUUCUACAAUAAAAACAUGAAGAGCUGAAGUGUGUAUACCCUGAAAGAGAAAAAGGACUAUGGCUACUGUACAUCCCUGAACUACAGAAGGCCACUCUUUCAAAGAGGCUUCAGAGUGGAAAGGGCCUUCCCAGGAGACAGAGUCUGAGGCCUGGAGAUCCAAGGCCCCUGGGUCUGCUGCCAUAU